GCCCGCUUGGCGGAAUUUGGUAGACGCAAGGGACUUAAAAUCUCGGCCUUUUGGCCGUGCCGGUUCAAGUCCGGCAGCGGGCACCA
RNAcentral lists this transfer RNA (86 nucleotides) under Iodidimonas nitroreducens. RNAcentral describes it as "Kordiimonadales bacterium JCM 17846 tRNA-Leu". It matches the Rfam family "tRNA". Rfam says of the family: Transfer RNA (tRNA) molecules are approximately 80 nucleotides in length. Their secondary structure includes four short double-helical elements and three loops (D, anti-codon, and T loops). Further hydrogen bonds mediate the characteristic L-shaped molecular structure. tRNAs have two regions of fundamental functional importance: the anti-codon, which is responsible for specific mRNA codon recognition, and the 3' end, to which the tRNAs corresponding amino acid is attached (by aminoacyl-tRNA synthetases). tRNAs cope with the degeneracy of the genetic code in two manners: having more than one tRNA (with a specific anti-codon) for a particular amino acid; and 'wobble' base-pairing, i.e. permitting non-standard base-pairing at the 3rd anti-codon position. The record is from RNAcentral. Lineage: Bacteria; Pseudomonadati; Pseudomonadota; Alphaproteobacteria; Iodidimonadales; Iodidimonadaceae.